Canis lupus familiaris (dog) is the source of this 2347-nucleotide long non-coding RNA. RefSeq lists it as uncharacterized. The record is from RefSeq and is a predicted model, not a curated record. The transcript has 9 exons. NCBI's taxonomy places the organism in Eukaryota, Metazoa, Chordata, Mammalia, Carnivora, Canidae.
UCUGAGAAAUCAAAACCCACUUCCCAGCUUUGGUGGGAGGGUUACAUGAGGUAACAUUUGGAAAACCUACAGCUCUUGACAUGUAGCAGAUGCUCCAUGAACGUCCAUUCCCUUUCCUGCUUUCCUCAGAAGACUAUGUGCGGCUUGAGUAGGUUUCCUGUGAGUAUUUACCCAGGGAAUGAAAAGGCGUGUCUCAGCUUUCUUACCUGUAAAAUGGGCUACAGUAACUUCUACCUCAUGGCUGCACAGAAGGUGAACGGAGAUGAACAGUGGAGGGCUCUUCACACGGGACACCGGGCCUCGCACGUGGCAAGUUCCCAGCUGAGAUAAUACAUUUCUUGGUCAGAAGCAAUGCUGUGUGGGAAUCCAUGAUGGACAUAAGCUGAGCUUCCCAUCCUAGCACUUGAGUUUUCAGAAAGGGCAGAAGGCCAAACACAUGGAAAGCUCCAGGCAGCCCAGCAGGAGGAGAGCUACACCCUUUGGCUUUGACUCUGCCUUUCUCAGCACACAAGGCUUCAAAGUGGGCACAGGUUAACUAAAAGGAUGGUUCAGGUAGACAAGGAUGACCCAGUGGACAGGGCAGCGACAGUCUUCAGAUGAAAUUUGGGCAAACAUGUCUGUACCAGCAAUUAGAGAAACCUCAGAGAAUGACUCCCUGGAGCCCCGUGGGGCAGUUCAACCCAAGGCUCUUUGCUGAGCCCUUGUUGAGUUAGCCCUGUGGGGAGGGCUACAGGCUUCAGCAUUGGAGAGGGCCUGCUUCUGCUCUCAUUAAGCUCAGAGUCCAAUGGAGGCACCCACAGAAGGUCAGAAAGUGGCAGUCAAAGGGGCUGAGUGCUGUGGGAGCCCCCGGGAGGGGUAGCCAGCCCAGACAUGAGGAAGCUGCGCAAAGGAGGUGAUGAUGCCUGAGCUGGUUCUUCAAAAGUGGAGAUGACUUUGGUGGGUGCUGAACUGGGGACAGAGCACUCCAGGCAGACAACACAGUAUGAAGAAGGCUCAGAGGGGCUGGAGAGCAAGGCGUUGGGCUCACAGGAGGGCUCCGCGUGUUUGGAGGAGAGUACAGAUAGGUGCGGAGGAAGACGGGGCCCAGGCCUCAGGAUUUCACAUGUCCUCUUGAAGAUGGGAUUGUGUCCUGUGGCUCGUGAGCAGCAAGGAUAGGCUUUGGGAGAGAAGAAUCCCACAAUCAUCUCCAGAUGCUGACAGAAGGCAAUCUGGGGUUCAUAAUCCUAUUAGACCAAGGACAGCAGUAAAUGCAUCUGCUCCACACAGACCUAACUCAGUGCCGCAGAGGAGAUGGGGCCUAAGUUCCAGGAGCACUUUCCCAGGUUCCAGGGGGAGUCGCAGAUUCAGGAGUGAAUAAGCAGGUGGAAAAGAAAGAAGGUGGCUCUUACUGAGGGCCUACUCUGUAGGGAAACUGGCACAUGUCUGGAAUGAACAUUUUCUUCUUGAAUCCUCCUCAAAACCCUGAGAAACUUGUGUGCUAGCCACGUGCAAAGGCACAGGGUGGAAGUGAAUUGAAGUCCUCUGCUUCUUCAUACACAUUCAAGACUACUCAGAAGUCUCCUUUUCUGGGAAGCCUGCCUGACUACUUGUCCUCCUCCUGCAUUGUUGGGUUCACAUAUGUAAUAUAUGCCUUCCAGUUCUUACCAGGCUGUUUAUAUGCCUGUUAUAGUCAAAAGACUUGCUCCAACCAGACGUGUCUCAAUUGCAAGAGUAUAUAUGGCCUAAGCUCCAGUUGGGAACUCUGUAUACACAGUGAGGAGUUUACUGCAUAUACAAAAGUUCUUAUCUUAAGAAAAUAAUCAAGCACUCAGCAAAAGGACCCUUUAAAUGAAUCUUCUUCAGCCAUGUACUCAGAGCCACUCUUCUAUCAGCAAGAGUUCUCAGUUGCAAGCAGUGAAAAUCAACUCUGGCACCUUCACGAGUUGGUAUUGGAGGCUCUAGAAUCAGCAGACACAAAAGGUCCAGAUUUGAAAGAUUGUUGGACUUGGAAGCUAGACAGGCAUAAAAGAAUUCUCUGAUUGUCAGGGAGACAAAUUGCAAAAAAGCAAACAUUCAGUUUUUGGAAGACAGCCAUGUUGUACCAUCCAUCAGUACCUUUUACCACCAAUGCUGGACAGUACAGUGACUUCAAGUGAGCUCUAAUCCUCAUUCAUCUGAGCAACUUUGCUGGACUCUAGGGGCAGGAAAGAGGGAGGGUAUCCCCCCCUACCCACUUUGGCUUCCACUGUGAGGGUAGGCUGCUUCUUCACAUGGGGUCUCCCACCAAAUGAGAGGAACUGUUGAGGGUGGCUAUUGAAAAUCGUCAUAUGUCACUAAUGGGCCCCCUCUUUGGCUGCCCAACCUUCAU